This 62-nucleotide transfer RNA is filed under the name Telenomus sp. ZCS-2018. Its description in RNAcentral is "tRNA-Cys". The record is from RNAcentral. Lineage: Eukaryota; Metazoa; Arthropoda; Insecta; Hymenoptera; Scelionidae.
CACAUUAUAAUUUAUUAAAAUAUAAAACUGCAAAUUUUAAAAUACUAUUUUAGUUAAUGUGU